RNAcentral lists this long non-coding RNA (8534 nucleotides) under Sus scrofa (pig). RNAcentral's name for it is "lncRNA (ENSSSCG00025045787.1)". Lineage: Eukaryota; Metazoa; Chordata; Mammalia; Artiodactyla; Suidae. The record is from RNAcentral.
UUUUUUUUUUAGACUUCCAUUCAGAUAAUUCCAAAAUCUGUCUUACCUUGGUACUGGUGUAUGUUGAUUACAUCUCACUCAAGUUGAGAUUUUCCCAGGUUUUGGUAUGAUGAGUGACUUUUUAAAUAGAAAACUGGAUAUUUUGAGUAUUUUGUUAUGAUAUUCUGCCUCUUUGUGAAGGCUUUUGCUGUAGCAGACCUCUUCUGACACUAUUCUGGCAGAGGAUAGUGGGAAGGUGUUUAUCAUGACUGCCACGUGGAAGUGAAAGUCCAACUUCCCCAUUCGGCCUCCUCUGCACCAACCCAGCAAGGAGAGGUAGGAGGGGCCUUGCUACCUUUGGAUGGGGUCCUCAGGUGGCCUCCUAUGGGGGGGUACAUUAUCACCAGAUGGGUAUGAAAGUCCUGACUCCCCACUAUGUCUUCUCUGACACCACAGGGUGGGAGGUGGUAUAGGAGCCUUGUUUCACCUAGUUAUAACUGAGCAAGAGUGGCUUGGUUCCCCAUUCAACCUUUGCUAAUGGGGGUGAGGCUGUGGGUUUCAUCCACAUCAUUUGGCUUGGGGAGAACCAUUUUUCUCUAAAAGUUUUCUGUCUUACUGGGUGCCCAUUUCUGGUCUUCGGCCUGAGACAGCAGGCUUUCCUUGGGACUUCUGUUGUUUCUCCCACUGACAUUUCCAGGUUUCUGGCUUCUUCAGCUUCAUGUCUGGGAUAUAUGAAAUACAAAGAAAGCUCAGAAAUUUUAUUGCCAUGAUCCAAGGUGACCAGCAAGAUGGCCUUCUUCACUCCACCUUUGAGUUUUCUUGUAUUUGUUUUAUAUUCAGUGUCCAGAGUCUGUAACUAUACUUAGCAAGAGGAACAGAGAGAAGUGUGUCUUCCCACUCGCUUGUUUUUACCCUUAGUAUUUCCAUAGCUAAUAAUAACAAUAAAGGCUAUCAUGUUUUGAGUUGUAUCUACAUGGCUAACACAAUCUAAUUCAUUUAAUUCUCAAAAUAAUCCUAUGAGGAAAGCAUAAUAGUUAUGUUUUCCAUUCUAUUCAAAAAGAAAUUGAAAUUCAGAAAUAAUAAUGUAAAGCUUUAGAAUAAUGUCUAGCACACAUACAAAUAAAUGUUAGGGAAAAUAAUAAUAUAAUAUUAAGUGUUGUUAUAACAGUAUAUUAAGAAAUGUGAAUAUAAUUAUAAAUAUUAUUAAUUACCUUAGAGUUGUUAAUGUGUGUGAUGGACACAACUUUUAAGUGGAGGAUUAGAACUCCAAUACAAGAUAGUAUAAGUAGAUGCUUGUAAACAGGAGGUUGUAAUUUCUCUCAAUUUGAGUCAACCAUUUAGAUUAAGCAAUUUCUGCUGCAUCCCAUUUUAUAUCUUUAUAUCUCUUGCUAUUUCACUGCUACUUUUCUUCUCUUCACUUCCUCUAGAGUUAUGGUUCCCAUAUCCCUCUCCAUUUAUAGCCUAAUAAGAAAACAACCAACUUGCAUAUAAUAUGUAUAAGGUUGAACGAGUGAUUUUAUAUUUGUUACAUUUAAUAUUUUGUUGAAACCUCCUAACGACCUCAUUAGCAGGUAUUAAUUAUCACUCUUCUUUAAAACUGAAGUUCAGAGGAAUUCAGGGACUGGCUGAAGGUCACAUGGUUAGGAAGUGGUCGAGAUAGGACUUGACCCCAGUGCUAUUUCCACCACCCUAUGCUGCAUCUGUAGCCACAGCACACUUUCACAUCCUCCAUGUAGCUCUAUAUGCUUAUAGCUCACCUCCUUCACCUCAUUCUCCUAGAAGAAUGAAAAGGCCUUGGAGGAGGGGUGAAUGGGAGGGGAAAGACCUAGCAAAGGAAGAGGUGCCUUGAUUUUUACAGAUAUCCUCAAAGGGCUGUUGGCCCAUGAAGAUGUUGGAAGUAUGACCAUGUAAUAACACACCUUUCUCCUGUUGCUUGCAUCUCUUGUGGAGUCAUGUUUUGAGAACUUAUGAAGAAUGGAAUGAUUGGGUGAAUGGAGGAAUGAUAGAUGGUUUAGAAAGAAACUGGCCACAUAGGGGAUUACUGCAACACAUUUUAGUCAUAGGAUACAGACAAAAGCAGAGAGAGUUAAGAUCAAGCACAGGCAAUUAGGAGGACAUUUAAAAGGCAAAUUUGCUAGGUUACCAAAAUUCAGUAGGGUGUGUGUGUGUGUGUGUGUGUGUGUGUGUGUGUAUUUAGGAGAAAAAGACAGAGAAGUGGGGGGAUUAUUCAUGACAGUGAUGCUGCCUAGGUUUCUAAUUUGAAAACCUGGAUGGAUCAUUUUGUUCAUAAUUGAGGUUAAAAAAAAAAAAAACGGUUUCAAGGAGGAUAGAGUAGUGACGUUAGAAUGCUAAAGAGAGGACAAUGUAAAUAAGGACUGUAUCAAAGUAUCUGGAUUUGAAACUUGGGAGGUAAUUCAUGGCUUCAGAACAAUGCCUGCAAUAGGUGGAGACAGAAGCAGAAAGAAUAGUGGGGUGAGAUGGGCAUGCUGAGCAAUGAUUUGGAAGCUAGGAGAAACUCUUCAUGCCAUCAUGCUGUGGCAGGCUAAUGGCAUUUGGAAUUCGAAGAUACAAUUUUGAAGUCUGGUAUUGCUUACUUGCCAUGCAGCCUUUGGCAAAUCAAAGCCUUUUACUCUGUUUCCUAAAGAUGAGCAACAGUUUGCUCUGUCCACUUUCCUGUGAUCUCUUUCCUCAUUGUGUGUAACAGGAUAAAUGAUGUCAUGAAAUUGAAGCUUUUUUGCCCCUCUUUUAAACAAAUCCACCCACUCAACAAUAGUACCUUCCAUCCAGAUCAACUGGGAUUGAUUUGCCACUUGACUGAAUUGUGGCUAAAUGUUGUGAGAGUAGGUAGAGUUUUCUAGAAAUCUAUGAUGGUUAUAUGUGGGGAGACCAUACAGAAAUAUAGCCUUCUUUCCAGUUAGUCCCUGACUGACAGUUAAACCUUGUUACUAAUAAGUUAAUGUGCAUAAUUAAUAGAUAUAGUGCAUUUUCCACUUUGGCACCUCUUAAAAAAUUUUAAAAAAAGUAUUUUUGGUUCCUUCGAAAGAUAUUAAAUUAAUGUAACCUCUCAUCUCACAUUUUCUUAUAUGGUAAACAUGUAUUGAGUACUGACAAUGUGCUAAACCCUUUGAAUAUUAAGAAAUCACUUAUUUCAAGUUUAUCUUGUGCAGAAAUAUAGGAUCAGCUUCCACUAACUUCAGGUCAAAACACUAUGCAGAGACUGUAUUUUCUAUUUCUUCUAUACCCCUACUGCAAUUUAAUUCAAUGAUAAUAAAACUUGCCAACAUUUAUUCUGAAUCCAUACCAUAAUCUUAGAUUUAAUUAUCUCCAUUUUAGCAGAUGAGAAGCCUAGCUUUAAAAAAAUGGCAACAUUGGACUUCCCACUGAGGCUCAGUAGGUUAAGAACCCAACAUGAUAUCCAUGAGGAUGCAGAUUCAAUCCCUGGCCUUAGUGGGUUAAGGGUCUGGCGUUGCCACAAGCUGAAUGUCCGUUGUACAUAUGGCCAGGAUCUGGUGUUGCCAUGGCUGUGGUGUAGGCUAUAGCUGCACCUCUUAUUUGGCCCCUAGCCUGGGAACUUCCAUAUGCCGCAGGUGCAGCCGUUAAAAAAAAAAAAUGGCAAAACAAAUUUAAAUGCCCAUUAUAGAGCUAAGCAUAGUAGCUGCUGAAUAAAUAUGUGAUCAUCCUGUAACAGGAUCUUCACUAUUUUAAGAUUAGUAGGGAGCCAAGUACAUUCUCACUGCAGGCAUGCAAAUAAGUGAAAAACAGCAACCAUGCAAUAAGUGUUUCUGGACUAUCCUGCAUCUCUGUCCUACUACUUCCAUUUAUUCACUUAUACAUCCAUUUAUUUAUUUAGCAAUGAGAACAAAGUAGUAGCUAUGUUAAUUCAUAUGUCUGUUAGUCCACAUGACUUAUGAGUCCAUAGAUACAUUCUGACUGUACUUGCAAAACUCUAACCUCUGGUUGCCAGUACAUAACUGCAAACAAUAGUAGGCACACUUAACACAACUGGAGUGACAGUAUGUCCUGUGCCUGAGGUAUCCUGGAAUCCCUUGAAUGACUUGGGUCCUAGAACAGGAUCCAUGUUACUAAUCAAAUCCUUGUCCAUAGGUCUUUAGAAUGCCAGACUUUAUCCUUGGGAUCUCAACUGCCAUGGAGGGCUCUUCUCCAUCUCUUUGGCAGAAAUAUAUCAGGGCACCACCAAAGGGUCAACUCUCUGCAAGGCCCCACCAACCAUAUUGGGACCUGAGGUAAAAGGGAUAAAAAUCUAUGGUACUGACCUUGUCUUUGUUUUGCUACAAUUGGGGGGGGGCAUUAAGCUAGAUUUUAAAUUUAAGAUGCCCCCUUAAAUUUGUGCCCAGUGGGGGGACAUUAAGCUAGAUUUUGAAUUUAAGAUGCCCUCUUAAAUUUGUGCCGAGAGUUACCCCGGUCCCCACCUUGGCCUUUUGCAAGAGGAUUAAGAGUGAGACUUGAGCCACAUGAGCACAGGAAAUGGCAGAGUUCCAGACAUGUUUUCUUGAACUGACCCUCAGUGCAUUGUUUGCAUAGGAAAUAAAGUCCAUCUGGGGUCAUUCUUUACUCAAUGUGCUCAACCUUCAGUGAUCUAUAUUCCUCUCCUUUGUAUUUCAAAACCCUUCUUAAUCCCUAUAAAUGGAGACUGACAUAGUCCAGAAGAAAUAAUGUAAAAUGGCCUCACUGGUCUAAGUAUUAAGAAAACAAACCUGGACACUGGCUUUCAGAGGCUGACUAGAGGCAGAUCUGCCCACAGAUGCCAUUCUAGGAAGGAAGACUCAUUUUAGAGCCCAGCCUUUGCAGCAUUCCUUUCAGAAGCAACAUUCAAACAUAUACUGGACUGUCAUCCUGAAGCCUCCAUUAAUUCCUUCAGAUUCUCCUGGGAAGUGACCCAAUGUUUUCUGGGUCUGCCUGACUAUCCAUCAGGUGAGCCUGGGCAGCUCUUUGAAUCUAGUUCAAAUUUCCCCUUGAUGUUAAAAAACAACAGAACCCUGAAAGGAGUUUCCAUCCAUUCUGGAAAACAGGGCAACUGGCUCAGAGACUGUUUACCAGACUUAUUAUUGAAAGGAUGUGAUCUGAGUUUUACAACCAGUGAUCCAUUAUCAUACUAAUGAGAAGAUAGGUAGAUAAAGGAAUUCCAGAGAUACUCCAAGGUUCCCAUUUGUGUCAGUAGUUUUGCUUUUUAAAAAUUCUCUCCUAGAGUUCCCAUCAUGGCGCAGUGGAAACAAAUCCGACUAGGAACCAUCAGGUUACGGGUUCUAUCCCUGGCCUUGCUCAGGGGGUCAAGGAUCUGGCAUUGCCGUGGGCUGUGGUGUAGGUCACAGACACAGCUCGUACCUCACGUUGCUGUGUCUCUGGCGUAGGCCUGUGGUUACAGCUCUGAUUAGACCCCUACUUGGGACCUUCUAUAUGCCACGGGUGCGGCCCUAAAAAGACAUAAGCCAAAAAAAAAAAAAACCCAAAAAAAACCCAGCUCUUUUUGCCCAACUCUUGGUUGGAUCUGAUGGCAGGUAUCCAAGCAAACUGGCUGAUUUGGAUGUGCUUUUCCCAAGACGAAGAAGCCCUUCCAACACAUCCACUUCUCAGUUCUUACUCUCAGGUCUCAACUGGGAAGCUGAAUCCUUUAUGACCAAUUCCUCAGUCAACCUCCACCUGAAUUACUUCCCCCUUCCUUGGUGCUCACAUAGCACUUUUCUUGAAUAUGCUAACACAUUUAUUUCUGCUUCAGAUUAUGGUUAUACGUUACCACAUUCUAAUGGCUGGAUCUAGGCAAUUCCUUAAUCCCUCUACCUCAGUUUUCUUGUUUGUAAAUGGAGAUAACAAUUAUCUUGCCAAAUUAUUGUGAAAGACCUGGACUCAAAUUAUGAAUCCCCAGUUUCCAGGUCUUCCUUGGAGAUGUUAUUUAACUUCCCUACCUUCAUUUUAUGAAUUUGUGAGAUGGAAAGAAAUACUGCCUCUCUGACAGAAGUUCCUAUGAGAAUUAUGAGAUAAAGUAUGUUUAAAAAAAAGUAACUAUUGGAGUUCCCUGGUGGCUCAGCAGUUUAAGGCUCUGCCCUUGUCACAGAUGUGGCUUGGGUCGCUGCUGUGGCACAGACUGGAUCCCUGGCACUGGGAUUUCUCCAUGACAUUGGGGGUGGUGAAAAAAAAGAAAAAAAAAAAGGUAACUAUUAUCAUUUUAUUGACAUUCUUGUUUUCUUGAUUAGACUGUAUACUCCUCAGGGGAAGAAGCUGUAUUUCAUUUGUCUUCUUAUCACCUAUAGAUAAUCUUAGCUGGUGGUCAAUAAGUGUUUGCAAGGUGCUGAAUAUUUUUUUGUCCUUCUACCUCAAUUGGUUUAUAUUACCUGUAAGGACUUGAUCAUGUUCAGCUUUGUCUUGGAAUUUAUGUGUCUUAUUUUCCUUUCUCUUUUGCAGUGUGCUUUAUGCAAAACAGCCACUCAGAAAAUACCACACAAGUAAAUGGAAUAAUACCAAUGAAUUCAAGGGUUCUUUACAACUCAGCAUCAUCAAAUUUUUAUUGAUAACUGACUGAAAUACUGCAUUCAAGGCCAAGUUAAAUUUCCCCCUUUGGAGAGUGAUACUUUUCAAAAAAUCUGCAAUCACCAAAUGAGCAAUUAAUGAGCAGAAGGCUUUUUCUGUAUAACAUGGACGUAUGUCCUUGUGCUGCACUGACAGGCUGUGUGCGAGCCGCAUCUUUGAUGCCAUAGUCUCUCCCUCACUAUCUAAGGAAAGAGAGCAGGCAGUAAGAAACAGGUUUCUUUUUGUUUCAGAUGAUGUCAUUCAGGUCCAGCAGGAAGGAUCUGCUGUCUGUUCUCAUUUUUUCUGCUCUGAGGAGCUCUCUUUGCUCCCCUUGACACUGGCACAACCGAGCAGGCUAAGAGUUGGGAGGGAGAUUGAAAUGGCUGAUAUACCACCAGCUCUAAAAACACAUGACAGCAGAAAGCUGGGCUAUUACUAAUGCUGAUCAGCUCGGAGGCAAUGCAAUCAAAACCUUCAAUUACACCUGGGUGAUUUAAUCAACUCCCUGUCAAACUCGGGUUGGAACUCCUCUGGUACUGUACAAAUACAGUAAUUACCACGCCAGCUUGCAAUAAGAUAUCAUUUCAGUGAAUUAGAAAACACAUUCUGUUGUCAAUUACCACCAGUCAAUUUAUAGGCCCUGAAACAAGCAAUAUUUUUUAAUUGCUGCCUUUGUGUCAUUAUCACAAAAUUACUUCUGUUAUGAGGCAUUAAAUCAUCUCAGCAAUGUUGGGAGUGGGGUGGGGGGGAGAUUGAAAAGUUUGCACUGUGUUCUUUCCUGAUCAAAUGGGAAUAGAAGCAUAAAACUGGUAUCCCACUGUGUUGGAUUUUGAAAUAAAAAAACAAUCAAACCCCCCCCAGAGAGUCUCAACUAUGCAAACAAUCAUCAACAAAUCCUGAAGCUACAUGAAUGGAUCAGAGAGUAGGAAACCAGAAGUCAGAUUUAUUUUAACCUGCCUGUGCUUUUUUGGUACUCCUUGGCCCCAUCUGUCUCCCACAGUCUAUCUUCCAGGCUUCAUUUUGUAGAGGUGUUGCCUUUGAGGAUGUGUUUCAGUUGAGAGCAGAUGUGGCCACGGUCACUGGAGAUCUGCAGAUUUAAAAGAUUUGAAAUUUUUCUACUGUAUCCUCCUUUUCCCAAGCUUAUUUGCCCAGUCUAAAGAGUAACAGCCCUUGGUCUUGCCAGCUCCAUUAAGCUCCUCUAAUUCUUCUCUUCCUAUGCAAAAGGAACACCUGACACACCCCUACCCACCGGCCCACCCCAUUCCAGCCUCCACAAAGCUUAUUUGAGUUAGUUCUAAAAGGAGACACUUUUAUUCUUCCAGAUGAUAUGUAAGGGAAAAAAAUAUUAUAUUAUCAUUAUUAUUAUUACUACUAUUAACCAUUUUUUUGGCCUAGCCUGAGGCAUGUGAAAGUUCCUGGGCCAGGAAUCAAACCCGAGCCGUAGCAGUGACAAAUGCCAAGUAUCCAACCUCUAGACCACCAGGGAACGCCAUCGUCUUUAUUAACAGUACACAUUUUAUUCACUUACAGCAUCCCUGGCACUGUUCUCAAUAUUUUACUCAUCCUAUAAAGUAUGUAUUUGUGUUGUUCCCAUUUCACAAGUGAGGAGCUAUUGCACUGUUUGUUUAGAAUUUGGUGUCCCAGUGAUGUCAUGGAAAGAACAUAGGCUGUGUCUCAGGAAGAGCCGGGUCUGAAUCUUGCCACUGCCAUUUAGUUGCUGUGUCAUAUUCGGUCAAUUAUGUACCCACUCUUAGCUCUGGUUUCCUUAUCUUCGAAAAGGCAAAAAUAGUAACGAUAAUAUUUAUGAAGUAUGUCACGCAUUCUUUUACAAGUUUUGAUGUAUUAACUCCAAUUUCCACAAUGCCUCUAUGAGGUAGAAACUAUAGUUACCCCUAUUUUACCCAUGAUGAAACUGAGAUAUAGGAGAGAAGUAAGGUAACUUGCCCAAAGUUACAAAGCAAGGGAGCAUUGGAGCUUCUGAGGUACCCAUUAUCCUCCUAUAUUGCCUCUUUUUUUUUUUUUUUCCUUUUUUU